CCUACGGGAGGCAGCAGUGGGGAAUAUUGCACAAUGGGGGAAACCCUGAUGCAGCAACGCCGCGUGAAGGAAGACGGUUUUCGGAUUGUAAACUUCUGUUCUUAGUGGAGAAUAAUGACGCUAGCUAACGCGCAAGCCACGGCUCACUACGUGCCAGCAGCCGCGGUAAUCCGUCGGGGGCACGCGUUGUUCGGAAUUACUGGGUGUAAAGGGAGCGCAGGCGGGAAGCCAAGUCAGCUGUGAAAACUACGGGCUUAACUUGUAGACUGCAGUUGAAACUGGUUGUCUUGAGUGAAGUAGAGGUUGGCGGAAUUCGGAGUGUAGCGGUGAAAUGCGUAGAUAUUCGGAGGAACACCGGUGGCGAAGGCGGCCAACUGGGCUUUAACUGACGCUGAGGCUCGAAAGUGUGGGGAGCAAACAGGAUUAGAUACCCGUGUAGUC
RNAcentral lists this ribosomal RNA (441 nucleotides) under uncultured bacterium. Its description in RNAcentral is "partial 16S ribosomal RNA". It matches the Rfam family "Bacterial small subunit ribosomal RNA", at positions 338 to 795 of the family's 1533-position model. The record is from RNAcentral.